AAACCCCGAACAUGCCUCUCCUUGGCUUCCUAACUGCUACCUGCUCAUCCUCUUUCUCCAACCCCUCUUCUCUCCUUCUUUCACCCAACUCAACUCAAAUUUAAGGUCAUCCUAUUCCACCUGUCCUGUUGUAGUUGCUACAUUAGCCAGAUUCUCCAUACUGAGAGAGAGGUUUUCUUGUUCCUUCUGCUAUUCUGCC
Molecule: long non-coding RNA, 199 nt
Filed under: Nicotiana benthamiana
Lineage: Eukaryota; Viridiplantae; Streptophyta; Magnoliopsida; Solanales; Solanaceae
Description: long non-coding RNA (NBEN_LNC009802)
Source: RNAcentral